CACGUAGGGUGCGAGCGUUGUCCGGAAUUAUUGGGCGUAAAGAGCUCGUAGGCGGUGUGUCGCGUCGGCCGUGAAAACCUGCAGCUUAACUGUGGGCUUGCGGUCGAUACGGGCAUCACUGGAGUUCGGCAGGGGAGACUGGAAUUCCUGGUGUAGCGGUGAAAUGCGCAGAUAUCAGGAGGAACACCGGUGGCGAAGGCGGGUCUCUGGGCCGUAACUGGACGCUGAGGAGCGAAAGCAUGGGGAGCGAACAGG
This 255-nucleotide ribosomal RNA is filed under the name uncultured bacterium. RNAcentral describes it as "partial 16S ribosomal RNA". It matches the Rfam family "Bacterial small subunit ribosomal RNA", at positions 524 to 776 of the family's 1533-position model. The record is from RNAcentral.